UAGGGUUCGUGGAAAAUCUACAACCGGGAGAAAGCAGCCAUCGAUGCAAGCUUUCGACGUGGAUGGUGGUUCAGAUAUGGUGAGCAAAGUCUACAACGGAACAUGCUUUUGUCCCCUUCCAGUGGUUCCGUUGAAGUCGAAGACAACUAGCAACCCUGAUAGAUGGUUUCUACGAUACCCUAUGUGGAAGAACACACAAAUGUGAUGCGGGUAUUUUCAAUGGUUAGAUGAAAUACAAGAGCAAUGUGUGGAAGGAGAAGUAUCUUCGAAGAAUAGUAACAUGGUGGGCAAUUAAGAACCAAAAAAGAAAA
Non-coding RNA from Arachis ipaensis, 311 nucleotides. The record is from RefSeq and is a predicted model, not a curated record. NCBI's taxonomy places the organism in Eukaryota, Viridiplantae, Streptophyta, Magnoliopsida, Fabales, Fabaceae.